AUGCUCGCUUCAGCAGCACAUGUACUAAAUUGAAAUGAUACAGAGAUUGGCAUGGCCCCUGGGGGAGGACAACACGCAAAUUCAUGAAGUGUUCCCUACGUUU
This is a small nuclear RNA of Otolemur garnettii (small-eared galago), 103 nucleotides long. NCBI's taxonomy places the organism in Eukaryota, Metazoa, Chordata, Mammalia, Primates, Galagidae. The record is from Ensembl.